This 819-nucleotide ribosomal RNA is filed under the name Pseudoalteromonas sp. HD14.4Min. RNAcentral's name for it is "bacterial SSU rRNA". It matches the Rfam family "Bacterial small subunit ribosomal RNA", at positions 366 to 1178 of the family's 1533-position model. Lineage: Bacteria; Pseudomonadati; Pseudomonadota; Gammaproteobacteria; Alteromonadales; Pseudoalteromonadaceae. The record is from RNAcentral.
CCGGUCAUGGGCGCAGCCUGAUGCAGCCAUGCCGCGUGUGUGAAGAAGGCCUUCGGGUUGUAAAGCACUUUCAGUAGGAGGAAAGGUUAGUAGUUAAUACCUGCUAGCUGUGACGUUACUGACAGAAGAAGCACCGGCUAACUCCGUGCCAGCAGCCGCGGUAAUACGGAGGGUGCGAGCGUUAAUCGGAAUUACCGCCGCGUAAAGCGUACGCAGGCGGUUUGUUAAGCGAGAUGUGAAAGCCCCGGGCUCAACCUGGGAACUGCAUUUCGAACUGGCAAACUAGAGUGUGAUAGAGGGUGGUAGAAUUUCAGGUGUAGCGGUGAAAUGCGUAGAGAUCUGAAGGAAUACCGAUGGCGAAGGCAGCCACCUGGGUCAACACUGACGCUCAUGUACGAAAGCGUGGGGAGCAAACGGGAUUAGAUACCCCGGUAGUCCACGCCGUAAACGAUGUCUACUAGAAGCUCGGAGCCUCGGUUCUGUUUUUCAAAGCUAACGCAUUAAGUAGACCGCCUGGGGAGUACGGCCGCAAGGUUAAAACUCAAAUGAAUUGACGGGGGCCCGCACAAGCGGUGGAGCAUGUGGUUUAAUUCGAUGCAACGCGAAGAACCUUACCUACACUUGACAUACAGAGAACUUACCAGAGAUGGUUUGGUGCCUUCGGGAACUCUGAUACAGGUGCUGCAUGGCUGUCGUCAGCUCGUGUUGUGAGAUGUUGGGUUAAGUCCCGCAACGAGCGCAACCCCUAUCCUUAGUUGCUAGCAGGUAAUGCUGAGAACUCUAAGGAGACUGCCGGUGAUAAACCGGAGGAAGGUGGGG